UGGGGAAUCUUGCGCAAUGGGCGAAAGCCUGACGCAGCCAUGCCGCGUGAGUGAUGAAGGCCUUAGGGUUGUAAAACUCUUUCACCGGGGACGAUAAUGACGGUACCCGGAGAAGAAGCCCCGGCUAACUUCGUGCCAGCAGCCGCGGUAAUACGAAGGGGGCUAGCGUUGCUCGGAAUUACUGGGCGUAAAGGGCGCGUAGGCGGAUCAGCAAGUUGGGGGUGAAAGCCCGGGGCUCAACCUCGGAAUUGCCUUCAAAACUGCUGAUCUAGAGUACGGGAGAGGUGUGUGGAACUCCGAGUGUAGAGGUGAAAUUCGUAGAUAUUCGGAAGAACACCAGUGGCGAAGGCGACACACUGGCCCGUUACUGACGCUGAGGCGCGAAAGCGUGGGGAGCAAACAGGAUUAGAUACCCUGGUAGUCCACGCUGUAAACGAUGAUUGCUAGUUGUCGGCAGGCAUGCCUGUCGGUGACNCAGCUAACGCAUUAAGCAAUCCGCCUGGGGAGUACGGUCGCAAGAUUAAAAACUC
This 530-nucleotide ribosomal RNA is filed under the name uncultured bacterium. RNAcentral's name for it is "partial 16S ribosomal RNA". It matches the Rfam family "Bacterial small subunit ribosomal RNA", at positions 355 to 902 of the family's 1533-position model. The record is from RNAcentral.